AGCAGCCGCGGUAAUUCCAGCUCCAAUAGCGUAUAUUAAAGUUGUUGCAGUUAAAAGCUCGUAGUUGAAUUUCGGGGUUAGUAGGUUGGUCAUGCCUCUGGUAUGUACUGGUCUCACUGAUUCCUCCUUCCUGAUGAAUCUUAAUGCCAUUAAUUUGGUGUUUUGGGGAAUUUGGACUGUUACUUUAGAAAAAUUAGAGUGUUUAAAGCAAGCUAUUUUUGCUUGAAUACAUUAGCAUGGAAUAAUAAAAUAGGACGGCAUGGUUCUAUUUUGUUGGUUUCUAGGACCACCGUAAUGAUUUAAU
RNAcentral lists this unclassified non-coding RNA (304 nucleotides) under uncultured Glomus. Its description in RNAcentral is "bacterial SSU rRNA". It matches the Rfam family "Eukaryotic small subunit ribosomal RNA", at positions 569 to 874 of the family's 1831-position model. The record is from RNAcentral. Lineage: Eukaryota; Fungi; Glomeromycota; Glomeromycetes; Glomerales; Glomeraceae.